Molecule: unclassified non-coding RNA, 241 nt
Filed under: Paenibacillus larvae
Lineage: Bacteria; Bacillati; Bacillota; Bacilli; Caryophanales; Paenibacillaceae
Description: 16S-23S ribosomal RNA intergenic spacer
Source: RNAcentral
CUAUGGAGUACAGAAAUGUACAAGAAGGCUUUACUCACUCGUUGUCAGUUUUGAAAGGGCGACCUUUCAACCCUUGUACCUUGAAAACUAGAUAGCGAAACAAAGCGAGAACUUAGAACAUCCUUARUAUAAAGCGAAGUGUUUCGUUUGAAGUGAGCGACUUUGCAGAUGAAUGUUCACCUUACGUGUGAUUGAAAACAUUCAGGUGCAGCGAAAGCCCUUCAAAGAAAUACAAAGCAUA